Molecule: long non-coding RNA, 3761 nt
Organism: Hylaeus volcanicus
Lineage: Eukaryota; Metazoa; Arthropoda; Insecta; Hymenoptera; Colletidae
Exons: 4
Source: RefSeq, a predicted model, not a curated record
AGUUUCAAUCUGCACCGAGAUUAAGGACAUUGACAAUUGCGGUACAAAGCUCAAGAAUACUUUCACUGCUCAUCUAGGAAUUGACCUAACGUAACCGAGUCAUGAAUUGAAUUGGACAGGAGCAAUUGAGAUGCCAUUAACGGAGUUUACAGGAAAGAUCAGAGUCGAACAGCAAGGUGCCUCUCGCACGAUUCUUUGGAAAAGACAGUGAGACGGUCCUGUUCGGCCCCACCAAGCUUCAAGAAGAACGGCCUGUUAGCAGCACAGGUCCGAUACGUGCACGUCGGAGCUGCUAUGAGUAAAAUCCUGUCGAGGUGUCGGUGACCCACUCGGACGAAACGAUAACGGGAUUGUCGUGCGUUCAAUCAAAGUCCAGCGAAUUCAUCGGCCCUCGAGGAAGAUCGACUGGUUUUUCUUUUUCUUUCAAGUAGGUCUUUUAAAGAAUCGACUAGCAAUGUUAGUCAUUCAAGCUGUCUUGCCCGCUUCCGAGUGACAGCAGGACUACCGUAAAUGAGAAUGCAAAUUUUCCCGGCAGGUAAGAAACUGAUUUUUAACGAUGACCUCUUGUUAUUACUUUUUUUGAAAACGGUAGUGGAUUCAAAUUUGUUUAUUUAAUAAUUAACGAGGGAAACUAUAAUGUCAACUUUAUUUAUUUUUUUUUUUUUUUUCACAUGUUUGUGAAACGCCAUUCAAUGUUUGUCCUCAAUUGUAUAACUCUAAGGUAAUGUGCACAUCAUCUACUUACGUGAAGUCUGAUUUAAUCAUUUUACCGAUGUAUGUCAUCGUAGAUUUAAUCCAGAAUAUUUUUUUUUUCGAACACACAUUAGAUACACCUUUUUUUCCCUUUUUUUUUACACGAGUAUGAGAGUUGUAUUUAUUAAAAUUUAUGUUUUUUUUAAUCGUAUAAUUUGUUUCAGAGGGCAAACAAACAAAAAUUUAUGUUACAGAGGGUCGAAUGCUAUAAUCGAAAUGAUUAGAUUUUUAGUAUCGCUAUGGUACAGUUAACUAGACUUUUGCUGUAAAUAAAAUAUUAACAACAAUCAUCCUUACUAAAUAUAUAACUUUCUUCUUUUCUUUUUUUAAAAUUCCCCGUCCAUCGUCGUCGUUAUUGUACUAAAAAAUGAACACAACUGGAAUUGGAUCAACUAUAUUUACGCGUGUUUAGAAUUGUGACCAAUAGUUCAAGAUUCGGAUAGGAAAGGAAUGACGUAAGAGUGCAUUUCGUUGCACCAAUUGUACAGUUAAAUCGUGCCUUUUACUUAACAAAAGUCAAGUAGCGUCAAGUAGCUUGGUCAUUCAAUCUUUCGCUCAUUCGAAAUGCUAAUGGAUCUUUAAGGGUAAUAUUUUGUAAUUUUGUUCAUGGGAGCGCGCAUAGUUGAAUAUAGCCACUUUCAUUUAAAUGGACGGUUAGAUUCCAGAAGCCACUAUUAUGCACUUGACCAAGCGAGUAGGAAUAGUAGGUCAAGGUUUAAUGGCAGCAUUUCUAGGCAUUUCUAAGCAUCUAUGCUUAUUUCGGAUUCUUAUAAGCAUCUUCAACUAAUAUUACGUUAUCAAUUAUUAAGUUAGUGAAUGAAAUGUAGUUCUGAAUCCAUUGUAAUUUGGGAAUUCUGAUGUUUAGUUUUCACGACUGUGUAUCUGAUUGAAAUUUUUGCAAAAAGGGCGCGCUAAUAAUUCGAGAUGUCCAUUUUCUUUUUUUCUUCUUUUUUAAAUAUAUGCUUCCCCGACCCCCACCAUCUUGUUUCGUUUGGAGUUUAGUCAAGCGCGUUUGAUUUUGACAGUGAGAAUUAUGGUCACGUGCAUGUGACAAAUGAAGAAUUCUCAUUUAUUUAUUCAAUAAUUAUCCACACGUUUGAGACGCGUAGUGCGUUGACGCGAGCUAACCCGAGCUGGAAUGGGAGCAGUACAGGCGACAUAAUCUCAUCGCAUCCCGUUAUAUUGGGUUGUGUCGGUAAAAAGAGCGAAAGACGAGCGAAGAAAUCUGCGGACGUUAUCUGCGGAUGUAGCAAGCAUGUCAGACGAGGGAGAAGAGAAAGAUGAGUGAUCGAAGGAGUUAGCGAAGGUUAUCGGAUGGGAAAUGUUAAUCGAGGUUAUUCCUUUUUGGAGUGGAGUUUUUUGUGCUCAAGAUUGUGGCCAGAAGUUUAUAGGAGAGGAGAAGAAGCCUGUACAGGAGUGUAUUUUGCUGAUACAAUCGCAAGAAACUCGUCAUGGACAACAAGUGGAUGUUUGCAUCGAUCCUGAUUGUUUGGAGACAAGUGCGAUUGUUAGUGUAGCGUCAGUGAGAUACAGUGUGCGAAUUAGACUGUGGAACGUAUGAUAAACUGGUUAACAAACGAAAUGAAGACAAGUUUCUCUAUACGAUUGGUGUAACUAUAUAUGUUUCGUUGCCUAGGUGCGAGUUAAUUUUUUGCAUUCAAGGGCUUUUCUUGUUUCUCCUUUGUAGUAUGUAUCAACAACUGUAGAAUGCUUUCUUAGCUUUGUACAACGUAAAUGCAAAGUCAUAUAUUAGAUUGGAAGUUGUACGAUUGCAAUUAAUUUGCAGAGAAUUAUAUGAUUUAUAAUUGGAAUUAUAUUGAAAUAAAAUAAAACCUUGUAAACAUUAUCUACCUCGAGAUUGACUGCAUCAAGGUAAAUAGUCACAUGUCACUUUUGGAGUAACUACAUCGGGGUUAAGUUUGGACUGUCAGUCAUCUCUCGAGUGCAAAAUGUUAACAACCAGGAGGUUAUCGGAAGUUAGUUGCAGAUAUAUUUAUUUUUGUUUUAUCUGUACGAUGACACGUUGUACACCCUUUGAUAGAAGCAUGUAUUAGCACGUUGCAGUUUACAAUGUGAUAUUUAUUGGCGAAAGAUUCACUUUAAUGUAACGGAAUACGUAUCGUAACCUAACCUCUGAGUGUAUAGCGAAUGAAUUUGUCCUAUUUCUUGUCAUUUGUCCGACUGCCUAUAUAAACAAAUGAACAUGUGAUUGCGCGGCAGGUAACCUAACCCAUAACCAAUCAAAGCCUUUGUCUGAAAGGGAAUUUUGUUGCCAUUAACCCUCUGCACUGUGCGUAUAAGAAAGGCACUACAUUAAACAGUAUAUAACUAUUAAAUAUUAAACAGUAUAUAACUAUUUAAUGUUAUAGUAUAGUAUAUUUAUAUGUAGUAUAGAGUAUAUAUAUAUAAGUAAAGUUAUAGCGUAUAACUUUGUAAAUGUGUGUUUUUUGGUAGUUGCGAUGAUUAUAUAUGAUUAUUACUUCUUUUAAAGCUUACGAGGGCAUAAGUAACAUAUAUACGGAGUAACCUUAUACUUGGUAGUAAAUCCUAAAUGUAAUUCAUAUUCUCUCCUGUUAAUACAUCAAGUGGCAAGGAUUCAAUCGAUGUCUUAGUUUGGAAUAUUGUACAUAAAUGAAUAAUUAAGUAAACAGUUACUUGGUUUUAGUUGAAAUAUCAAGUAUCCAGUAAUAAUAAUGGAAUUACUCUCGAUGUUAAACAAGCAGCCUCGAUUGCGGUUGCAGACAUUGAUUUUAAUUUAAAGAUGGCAUCAUGCACACACGAAUACAAACUGAAACUGAAAUCAUGUCGAUCGAACAGGCUUAAUACUUGUUCUUUCUUCUCGUGGCACUCGAUCGACUCGAAAUCAAUAUCGUGCUGUUUAAUCAAUCAAUCAUCUUUCUUUCUCUGCAUUUAAAUUUGAUCUUUCCAGAUAGAUAAGGUACAUACGUAUAAGGUGCUCCAACAAUACAUAAUGACACUGUUAACGCAUACAACAAUAUGUAAAUAUU